CUAACACAUGCAAGUCGAACGAGACCUUCGGGUCUAGUGGCGCACGGGUGCGUAACGCGUGGGAAUCUGCCCUUAGGUUCGGAAUAACUCAGGGAAACUUGAGCUAAUACCGGAUGAUGUCUUCGGACCAAAGAUUUAUCGCCUAGGGAUGAGCCCGCGUAGGAUUAGCUUGUUGGUGAGGUAAAGGCUCACCAAGGCGACGAUCCUUAGCUGGUCUGAGAGGAUGAUCAGCCACACUGGGACUGAGACACGGCCCAGACUCCUACGGGAGGCAGCAGUGGGGAAUAUUGGACAAUGGGCGAAAGCCUGAUCCAGCAAUGCCGCGUGAGUGAUGAAGGCCCUAGGGUUGUAAAGCUCUUUUACCCGGGAUGAUAAUGACAGUACCGGGAGAAUAAGCCCCGGCUAACUCCGUGCCAGCAGCCGCGGUAAUACGGAGGGGGCUAGCGUUGUUCGGAAUUACUGGGCGUAAAGCGUACGUAGGCGGUGAUUCAAGUCAGAGGUGAAGGCCCGGAGCUCAACUCCGGAACUGCCUUUGAAACUAGAUCGCUUGAACGUCGGAGAGGUGAGUGGAAUUCCGAGUGUAGAGGUGAAAUUCGUAGAUAUUCGGAAGAACACCAGUGGCGAAGGCGGCUCACUGGACGACUGUUGACGCUG
This 654-nucleotide ribosomal RNA is filed under the name uncultured Alphaproteobacteria bacterium. Its description in RNAcentral is "bacterial SSU rRNA". It matches the Rfam family "Bacterial small subunit ribosomal RNA", at positions 48 to 748 of the family's 1533-position model. The record is from RNAcentral. Lineage: Bacteria; Pseudomonadati; Pseudomonadota; Alphaproteobacteria.